RNAcentral lists this ribosomal RNA (443 nucleotides) under uncultured bacterium. RNAcentral describes it as "partial 16S ribosomal RNA". It matches the Rfam family "Bacterial small subunit ribosomal RNA", at positions 338 to 795 of the family's 1533-position model. The record is from RNAcentral.
CCUACGGGUGGCAGCAGGGGGGAAUAUUGGGCAAUGGGCGCAAGCCUGACCCAGCAACGCCGCGGGAAGGAAGAAGGCUCUCGGGUUGUAAACUUCUUUUAUCAGGGACGAAGCAAGUGACGGUACCUGAUGAAUAAGCCACGGCUAACUACGUGCCAGCAGCCGCGGUAAUACGUAGGUGGCAAGCGUUAUCCGGAUUUACUGGGUGUAAAGGGUGUGUAGGCGGGAAAGCAAGGCAGAUGUGAAAACCAUGGGCUCAAACUGUGGCCUGCAUUUGAAACUGUUUUUCUUGAGUACUGGAGAGGCAGCCGGAAUUCCUAGUGUAGCGGUGAAAUGCGUAGAUAUUAGGAGGAACACCAGUGGCGAAGGCGGUCUGCUGGACAGCAACUGACGCUGAGGCGCGAAAGCGUGGGGAGCAAACAGGAUUAGAUACCCCUGUAGUC